GACGAACGCUGGCGGCGUGCUUAACACAUGCAAGUCGAACGGAAAGGCCCUGCUUUUUUGGGGUGCUCGAGUGGCGAACGGGUGAGUAACACGUGAGUAACCUGCCCUUGACUUUGGGAUAACUUCAGGAAACUGGGGCUAAUACCGGAUAGGAGCUCCUGCUGCAUGGUGGGGGUUGGAAAGUUUCGGCGGUUGGGGAUGGACUCGCGGCUUAUCAGCUUGUUGGUGGGGUAGUGGCUUACCAAGGCUUUGACGGGUAGCCGGCCUGAGAGGGUGACCGGCGACAUUGGGACUAAGAUACGGCGCAGAGUCCUACAGGAGGCAGCAGUGGGGAAUAUGGCACAAUGGGCGGAAGCCUGAUGCAGCGACGCCGCGGGCGGGAUGACCGCCUUCGGGUUGUGAACCGCUUUCGCCUGUGACGAAGCGUGAGUGACGGUAAUGGGUAAAGAAGCACCGGCUAACUACGUG
This 468-nucleotide ribosomal RNA is filed under the name uncultured bacterium. Its description in RNAcentral is "partial 16S ribosomal RNA". It matches the Rfam family "Bacterial small subunit ribosomal RNA", at positions 28 to 507 of the family's 1533-position model. The record is from RNAcentral.